This 72-nucleotide transfer RNA is filed under the name Dreissena polymorpha. It matches the Rfam family "tRNA". Rfam says of the family: Transfer RNA (tRNA) molecules are approximately 80 nucleotides in length. The record is from Rfam by way of RNAcentral. Lineage: Eukaryota; Metazoa; Mollusca; Bivalvia; Myida; Dreissenidae.
GGCUCGUUGGUCUAGGGGUAUCAUUCUCGCUUAGGGUGCGAGAGGUACCGGGUUCAAAUCCCGGACGAGCCC